RNAcentral lists this long non-coding RNA (606 nucleotides) under Triticum aestivum (bread wheat). RNAcentral describes it as "long non-coding RNA (TAES_LNC014237)". The record is from RNAcentral. Lineage: Eukaryota; Viridiplantae; Streptophyta; Magnoliopsida; Poales; Poaceae.
UUUGGUUGUACAUACCAUUAGAAAUAUGAUGGGUAUCACCCCCAACAACAGUGCCCUUUUUCCAUUGUUCAACAAUUAUCUCAAAAGAAAAGAGAACACACCACUAACUUCUCAAUGUGCAUCAUGACUCAGUAAAGCUUCCAGUGCAUGAACAUACUUCCUCCUUUUCCUUUUUAUAUAGAACAUAUGGCCGUGUGUUGCACUGGGAGAAAAAUAUUGGCGUUGUCACUCAUUUACAAACCCACUUCGUGUGCCACACUAUUUCUUCUAGCCAACUUUGACACUGCGGGAUAUUUCUUCUGUUCAACUUUGACAAACUUCACAGCUAGCAACAAUGUGGAAGUAAUGUUUUUGUCGUCAUGCCUACAACAGUUUGACAAAAAGGAAAUAUAAAAAUAGCUACAUUCAAGAACAGAGGGAAAACUUUGUCAAACUUGCAAACCUUGUGUUACUUUUCUUGCUUUUAGCAAGUGAAUGUUACUUGUGUGUAGAUGAUAUCUGAAAAGCUCCUAGAGAAAGAUGGAAAGUGUUAACUAUACUGAGUUAACUAUAUAUAAUACAAAACGUAUGCAAGGAUACACUUUUCUAUACAUCAACUUACAGAGG